Molecule: ribosomal RNA, 440 nt
Filed under: uncultured bacterium
Lineage: Bacteria
Description: partial 16S ribosomal RNA
Rfam family: Bacterial small subunit ribosomal RNA
Source: RNAcentral
CCUACGGGUGGCAGCAGUAGGGAAUAUUGCUCAAUGGGGGAAACCCUGAAGCAGCAACGCCGCGUGGAGGGUGAAAGUUUUCGGAUUGUAAACUCCUUUUGUUAGAGAAGAUAAUGACGGUAUCUAACGAAUAAACACCGGCUAACUCCGUGCCAGCAGCCGCGGUAAUACGGAGGGUGCAAGCGUUACUCGGAAUCACUGGGCGUAAAGAGCGCGUAGGCGGGAAAGCAAGUCAGAUGUGAAAUCCUAUGGCUUAACCAUAGAACUGCAUUUGAAACUGUUAUUCUAGAGUAUGGGAGAGGUAGGUGGAAUUCUUGGUGUAGGGGUAAAAUGCGUAGAGAUCAAGAGGAAUACUCAUUGCGAAGGCGACCUGCUAGAACAUAACUGACGCUGAUGCGCGAAAGCGUGGGGAGCAAACAGGAUUAGAUACCCUUGUAGUC